CAGCCAUACCAGAUAGGGAGAAUUACAAUUAUGACCAAGUCAAAGAAGCCCUGUUGACCCGCUCUGCAGUCACCCAUGAAGCCUCCUGCAGGAGGUUCAGGGAAUUGAAGAAAAGCAAAAGAGAAUCAUACACAGAGUAGGUGUCUCGUCUCCACCAAACUGCCUCUCACAGGGUAUCCGUAUGCAAAGCUGUCUCGGUUGAGGAUAUCCUACAGCUCAUAUUCUUCAAACAGUUUUAUAAUGUGAUUAACCCUGAACUCUGGGAAUGGAUCCAAGACAGACUACCUCUUAUCCUGCGUGAAGCCGCUCGGUUGGCUGAUGAAUAUAUCGACACCAGGAAAAC
Non-coding RNA from Pelobates cultripes (western spadefoot toad), 343 nucleotides. The record is from the annotation of a GenBank genome assembly. NCBI's taxonomy places the organism in Eukaryota, Metazoa, Chordata, Amphibia, Anura, Pelobatidae.